RNAcentral lists this ribosomal RNA (253 nucleotides) under uncultured bacterium. RNAcentral's name for it is "partial 16S ribosomal RNA". It matches the Rfam family "Bacterial small subunit ribosomal RNA", at positions 524 to 776 of the family's 1533-position model. The record is from RNAcentral.
UACGUAGGGCGCAAGCGUUGUCCGGAUUUAUUGGGCGUAAAGAGCUCGCAGGCGGCUUGUUGCGUCGACCGUGAAAACCCGCGGCUCAACUGCGGGCUUGCGGUUGAUACGGGCAGGCUGGAGUUCGGUAGGGGAGACUGGAAUUCCUGGUGUAGCGGUGAAAUGCGCAGAUAUCAGGAGGAACACCGGUGGCGAAGGCGGGUCUCUGGGCCGAUACUGACGCUGAGGAGCGAAAGCGUGGGGAGCGAACAGG